UAAACUAACUGCAACAAACAUAGUAAACUAACUACUAUUUUUGCGAUUUUUAAAUUUUUUUUUUUUAAACAAAAAAACUGAAUGCAAAAACUAAAUGUAAAUAACCCGAAAACAUAACGAACUACAAUGUAAAUAACUAACUAUAUGCAAUACGACACUAAAAUGCCCCCAAACUUAAACUAGACAUUGUCCUCAAUGGCUACAAUAGAAAAAAUUAAAGCAGAGGACUUCCCUGAAAAUAUAGCAAUC
This 249-nucleotide long non-coding RNA is filed under the name Panax ginseng (ginseng). Its description in RNAcentral is "long non-coding RNA (PGIN_LNC001754)". The record is from RNAcentral. Lineage: Eukaryota; Viridiplantae; Streptophyta; Magnoliopsida; Apiales; Araliaceae.